Molecule: transfer RNA, 74 nt
Filed under: Bacteroidetes bacterium HGW-Bacteroidetes-4
Lineage: Bacteria; Pseudomonadati; Bacteroidota
Also listed under: 1 other name
Description: tRNA-Thr
Rfam family: tRNA
About the family: Transfer RNA (tRNA) molecules are approximately 80 nucleotides in length. Their secondary structure includes four short double-helical elements and three loops (D, anti-codon, and T loops). Further hydrogen bonds mediate the characteristic L-shaped molecular structure. tRNAs have two regions of fundamental functional importance: the anti-codon, which is responsible for specific mRNA codon recognition, and the 3' end, to which the tRNAs corresponding amino acid is attached (by aminoacyl-tRNA synthetases). tRNAs cope with the degeneracy of the genetic code in two manners: having more than one tRNA (with a specific anti-codon) for a particular amino acid; and 'wobble' base-pairing, i.e. permitting non-standard base-pairing at the 3rd anti-codon position.
Source: RNAcentral
GCCGGUGUAGCUCAGUUGGUCAGAGCAGCUGAUUUGUAAUCAGCAGGCCGGGGGUUCGAAUCCCUCUACCGGCU